AAUUUGAGUACAUAGAAGAGAACUUGUCCAAUAAGAGUCCUGCGCUUCUCAAGUAUAAUCCAGUUCACAAGAAAAUCCCUGUGCUUGUACACAAUGGAAAGCCGGUUGCAGAGUCACUUGUCAUCCUGGAGUACAUUGAUGAGACCUGGAAACAUAAUCCCAUCUUGCCUACAGACCCUUAUGAGAAGGCCAUGGCACGGUUCUGGGCUAAGUACAUGGAUGACAAGGUAAACCCGAUACUAUAUUCCCUUUUUAAAAAAAAAAAAUUCAUUUGGAUCCUGACUACUAUUCAUUAUGCAGCUCUGGCCGGCAGCAACAAAGGUCGUGGUGAGUAAGGGAGAGGAGCAAAAGGCAGUGAUUGAAGAAAUCCAGGAGCAGCUGAAAACUCUAGAGAGUGAACUGAAAGAGAAGAAAUUCUUUGGAGGGGAGAGUUUGGGAUUUGUAGACAUAGCUGCAAACAUUAUAGUUUUUCUUCUUGUUGCCCAAGAAGCUCUGGGAUUAAUGGAGAUCCUGACCGAAGAGAAGUUUCCUGUUUUGCAUGAAUGGUAUCAAAGGCUUGUCGAUGAUGCUGUUUUCAAGGAAUGUGUGCCACCAAGGGAGCGACAUCUUGGCUUCUUCAAAGCUCGGUUUGGAUCCUCGACGGCUUCCAAAUGAAGAGUUGGUUUAUGUCUGUGCAUGAGUUGAUAGGGGAGGAACCUUGCUAGUUGCUUCUCAUAUAUGUGUUUCAGUUAUGUACUUUGAAGUUGUGUCAUGGACUUUACCCUGUUUCUGGGGAUGACAACUUAAAAAAUAAAUUGGAGUAGUAUUCUAUGUUCAUCUAAAUAAAAUUAAUCAUAUUGUUUCAUUAAGAGUGACAGAGAUUUAAAAUAUGUAUAUAUAUAUAUAUAUAUAUAUAUAUAUAUAUAUAUAUUAAAAAGACGUUGUAAUUUAUUUAUAAAAUAAUUAAAAAAAUAUUUUUAGAAUAUUAUUUUAAUUAGAAAUGAAAAACAGAAUGUUUUUGUUUACUUGUGGGCGUUUGAGCAAGGAAAAAGAUUUGACUUAUAGGUGAUGAUUCUAGAUUAGUUGAAAUACGGCUUUUCACUAUUUGAGGAAAAGAAAAUUGGCUUUUGGCUUGAAGGGUAAUUUUGAAAUUACAGGGAUACUAUUAUUAAAAAUUUAUUAUUUUAUUUAAAAAAAUGUAUGCUCCCUAUGAUACUUUUAAGAAAUACAAUUAAAUUUUAAAAUUAUCGUUUUGAUGUUUUUGAUGUGAUAAUAAGUUUUGUAAAUUUAGAAAUAAUUUCACAAAUUUUAAAUUUAAAUAAAUUGUAAUAAAGUGUUAAUAAAAUAUGAAUAAAUAAAUAAAACAAUUUUAUUUUACUCUUUGGUGUAUAAUAUUUUUGUACCCACAACUUUAGUGAAUUUGCAAAACAAUAAGAAAAUAUGUGAAACAAAAUAUUUUUUAUUAAAAUAUAAUAAUUGUGAGAAUACCAUAUUGGUAAUAAUUCUUUUAUAAAAUAAUAUUUUCUUAUCCUUCUUUCACUUUGAACACACUCCAAAAGGAAGGAAAAUAUUUUUUUAGUUUUGAAAGCUAAUUGAGGGCUUAAUUCGGGAAAGGUGAAAAACAUUUUUUUUUUUUUUCUUAUUUCUUGAAAUUUUUCUUCUUUAUGAAAUUUUUGUUUCAAAUCUAUGAAAAACAUAUCUAUUACUCUUUUACUAUUUCUUGAAAAUUUUCUUAUUUAUGAAUUUCUAUGUGGAGUCGAUCUUCCUUUCAUUAAAGGAAGUCGCCCUAUUAUCCAUAGAAUUAAGAAAUAAAAAAUUUGAAAUUCUUCAAGAUUUAGUUGUUUAAUUUAAAGAAUUUGUUUCAUUAAUUUUAACAACUUAUCUUCUUUAUUAAGGAAAUUUGCUAACAAAAAAAUAUUUAUUUUUAAUUCUCUUUUAAAUUUUGCAAUCUUUCAAAAUUUGUCACAUAUAUUAUUUAUCGAGUUCAAAUUUUGUUGAAUUGGGAAAUCACAAUUUUGAAAACCAAUUUAAUGAUAAUUUAAUUAAUUAAAAGUGUUGAUGUCUAUAAUUUCUUCUUAAUAAUUAAAUAUUUUAAUUUUAUUAUUUAUUAAAAUAAAAAAUCUUAAUAUAUUUAUAUUUUAUUUUUAUUAUGAUUUUAAAUAUAUAUUUUUUAAAUUUUAAUAAUGCUCAAAUAACCAUAUUUACCCAAAAUAUCGAUAAUUACGAAUAUAUCAAUACUUUAAUUAUAUUUAGAAAUAUCAGAGUUGAUAUUUUUUUACAAAUAUCAAUGGAGCGAAAAUUAUUUAAAAUUCACUAACAUCCUUGAAAAAACUAAAAAAAAAAUGAUAAAAUAAGCAAAAAUACACAUUUUUAAGUUUUUUUAAAGUAUAAUUGAUAUACAUAUUAUAAAAAAGAAAAACAUCGAUAGAUAGAAAUAUAUCAGUAGAUUUGAUAUUUGAAUUUUAAGAAUAAUAAAUAUGAAUUUUGGAAGUAUAUAAAGUUAGAAUUGAGUUAAAAAAUAUUUGAUUUUAUUGAAUAAAAAUAAUUUAUACAUAAAUAUAAUACAUAUGAUAUUGUAAUAGUCUUUAGUAUCAAAAUGAAUGGGGAUCUUGUUGAAAAUAAUAUUUAUUUAAAAAAAAUUUAAAUACUUUUAUUAAAACAUGUUUAAUUACAUUUUAAAUAAAAAAUUAAAUUAUUUUAUAUAAAAUAUUUUAUUUAAGAUUUAAUUUCUAAAAUUUUAUUAAAAAUAUGUGAUAACAACUUUUUCUAUUAAUAUUAAUUUAUUUAAAUAAUUAAAAUUAUUAAUAAUUUAUCUUAUCAAAUUAAUUUUAAUUUAUAAAAUAUUAAAACUUUCUUAACUUUCUUAAAUUUUUAUAUUAUAGCAAUUUUUUUGGGUAAAUUUAUAUUUUUAAUAUUUUAAAAUAAAAACAUUUAAAAUUAAAUAAAAUUGAAAGGAUGAAUAAAAAAAAUUUAAGAGUGAAGUGAUAAUAAUUUUUUAAAAUAAGAUUAAUGAGAUAAAUAUGAAAAAUGUUAAAAAUAAAAUUAUAAUACAAAAUAAAAUGAUAAUAUAAAAACAUAUAUGAAAUUUGGGCGAUUGAAUCGUCAAAAAUUCAAAUAUGAGAAUUUUCAAAAUUUUCAAAAAAGUGGUAGAAGGGGCAAUUUUUUUACGUUCUCCAUCUGCUCCGCGUGUCGCUUCGAGAAAUACCAAAAUAUUGGCGAUAGUUUCGAAAAAUUUCCGUGACGAAUAUUGUGUCGGAGCCGGCCGAUAAACGAUAUUUUCCCGAAAUUUUCCGACAUUUCAAUCCUUGCAAUUUAGCCCACUUAAAUAAUGCAAAGAGAUAAGAUUCCAAGGGAAAUAUCAAAUAUCACAUCACCGACAGCGAUAAGUGCCGUCUUCAAAGUCUUCAUUGUCUGGAUGCGUAGGCCAUGCCUCAAUGGACACGCAUUGGCUGAUGUCUACCACUUUGUCAGGCCCUCACCAGAUACAUUAUUGGUUCCCAAUCAUCCAUCCGAUCACACUCCAAACUAAAAUCUCGACAAAUCCAAGGGCCAGCACCGCGCCUGGUUUAUCAAGAAAACCUCUAUAGAUAAGAAGAGGGCAUACCAGUGGCAGCCUGAUCUCUUCAAGCUGCAACAAUGGCUGAAGAAGUGAAGCUGUUUGGCAUGUGGGCAAGCCCUUUUAGCCGCAGAAUUGAAGUGGCCCUCAAGCUGAAAGGGAUUCAGUAUGAGUAUAUAGAAGAGGACUUGUCCAACAAGAGUCCUUCGCUUCUCAAGUAUAACCCAGUCCAUAAGAAAAUCCCUGUGCUUUUGCAUAAGGGAAAGCCAGUUGCAGAGUCACUUGUAAUCCUGGAGUACAUUGAUGAGACCUGGAAACACAACCCCAUCUUGCCUGCAGACCCUUAUGAGAGGGCCAUGGCACGGUUCUGGGCUAAGUUCUUAGAUGAGAAGGUAAACCCAUUACUAUUUUUUUUUCCUUUUUUAUUUUAAAUUCACUUGGGUCCUGACUACUGUACAAUAUUAUGCAGCUCUGGCCGGCAGCAAAAAAGGUUGCGUUGAGUAAGGGAGAGGAGCAUAAUGGACUGAUUGAAGAAAUCCAGGAGCAUCUGAAAACUCUAGAGAGUGAGCUGAAAGAGAAGAAAUUCUUUGGAGGGGAGAGUUUGGGAUUUGUAGACAUAGCUGCAGACAUUAUAUUUUGGCUGCUUGUUGUCCAAGAAACUCUGGGACUCGAUAUCCUAACCGAAGAUAAGUUUCCCGGAUUGCAUGAAUGGUAUCAUAGGCUUCUUGAUGAUGCUGUUUUCAAGGAAUGUGUGUCAAUGGAGCGACUUCUUGCCUCUUUCAAAGUUCGGUUUGGAGCCUUGACUGCUUCCAAAUGAAGAGCGGGUUUAUUUGUGGAUGACUUCAUGGGAGAGGAAUCUUUCUUCUUGCACAUGUAUUUCAUAGUUAUGCAUUAUGAAGUAUUGUAAUGAACCUUGUCCUGUUUGUGGGAAUGAGAACUUAAAAAUAAGUUUGGAGAAGUAUUGCUCCAAAUGGCCUUAGGAAGAAGACUCAAACAUUGCCUCCUAAUUAAUAGGAAUUGAAUAUCCUAUGUUCAUCUACCUCUUGGUUAGAUUGAAUAAAGAUUUGGAUAUAGAAAUCCUUAUGACUGAGUCAUGGUUUGGUUCGGGGUUUAGUUCAGAGAUGAGAAUGUAAGUGGUAUGGGUAACAUUCAGCCUCAACUCCAUUCCUUUUAAGGUUUUCGAUUGGGUUUUCAUCCUCCCAUCAACGAAUGUAAAUCAAAUCUAAAAGUCAUUAUUUGAGGAAUUAUUUGGGUAAAUAAUCCCGACAGUCCAAUCAUCUCUCCCCAGCAUGAUGCUCCCCCAACAUUAUUGAAAUAUGUUUAACAUUUAUUAAAUGUUUAGUGAUGAAUUGGAGUGUGACAAUGAUGCUCUUUCCAAUAAAUAUUUCUCAAAAUUACCAUUUUUUUUUCAAAAAUCCUCCACCAACCCAUUAUAAAUGUAAGUAAUCAUACUAAAAUAAUAAUGCUAAUACAAUUGAAAUAAAAAAUAAAAUAUGAAUAAAUAAGUAACACAAUUUUAUUUUACUCUUUAGUCUAUAAUCUUUCUUCUUAAUAAUUAAAUAUUAUAAAUUUAUUAUUUAUUAAAAUAAAAAAUCUAAUAUAUUUAUAUUUUAUUUUUAUUGUGAUUUUAUAAUUCUUUUAAUUUUAGUAAUAUAUAAAUUAUAUAUUUAUAUUGUACAGUCAGUCACCUCGAUCCCACAUUUCAAGCAUAAACCAAUUAUUUAAAACAUAAUAUUGUUGGAUCAAAACAUCAAUUUUGAUCCAAAAUUCCUUUCUCCGAGAUUAACUGCCCAUGUGAAUGAUCUAAAGCGGUCAGGGAUAUAUCACGUGACCCAAAAAACGACAAAGGAAGGGACAGUGUCGACGGACAGUGCGGUGGCUCCUCUGCCAAAAAGUUGGUCACAGACUUUAAAAGGUAAGUUUUGGGGUAAAAUAACCCUUUUACAACAAAAAAAAACAAAAGAAUUUGGGAAACUGUGUUUUGACGGGCCAUUUGAAAAAUAUCUUAUUUUUGGAAUCCAAUUUUAUAAAAUAUGAUAACCAGAUUUUAAUAUGAAAAGUAAUAUUGCUUUUAUGCACUUUGACCUGGCUCCAUUUUUUUUGUCAAGAUUGCCCUCUGACGGCAAUGACCUCGACGGCAAUGGCUUUUGGCUUAGGUUUUUCGGUGUCGGAGGGGGCUUCCUUUUCGACUUUUUUCUUCAUGCUAGAGUGAGGAGUGAGGAGUGAGGAAGACGAAAGUGUCCUUGCCGUCGUUGUUGCUCCGGUGGAGGAAGUCGCAAAACUUCCACCGUUUUGAUGAUCAUGUGGAGUUGCUUUUCCUGCACCUUCCCGAUGGAGACUUCGCUACCUUGGGUUUCCACACACAGUACAUCCUCGACAGCACUCCCUCGAGCUCGUCGACCUCUGAUGACAAGGACACUCCAGGUCCAUUGCAGAUAAAAAAAAUAGGUUAUAGUGGUGACGAUGACAAUGGACUGAGUUGCGGCGACAAUAACCUUGACACAUCCAGAUUUUUCUCAAAUAUGAAAUAGAAUUUCAAUUGAAAAAUAUGCUUUUGAUAGAGGAGAGAGGAACGGCUUCGGAGGCCGACGAGCUCGAGGGAGUGCUAUCGGGGAUGUACUGUGUGUGGAAACCCAAGGCGGCGAAGUCUCCACCAAGAAGGUGCAGGAAAAACAACUCCACGGGAUCAUCGAAACGGUGGAAGUUCCGCAACUUUCUCCAUCGGAGCAACAGCGACGACAAGGACACUUUCGUCUUCCUCACUCCUCACUCCAGCAUGAAGAAAAAAGCCGAAAAGGAAGUCCCCUUGGGCGCUGAAAAACCUAAGUCAAAAGCCAUUACCGCCAAGGUCAUUGCCGCCGAAGGGCAUUCUUAGCACAAAAAAUGGAGCCAGCUCAAAGUGCAUAAAAGCAAUAUUACUUUCCAUAUUAAAAUUUGGUUCUCAUAUUUUAUAAAAUUGGGUUAUGAAAAUCAGAUAUUUUCCAAAUAGCCCCAUCAAAACACAAGUUUCCCAAAAAAAAUUAUAUAUAAGGUUAAGCCUUUUUACAAAAUUCAUGAUUUUAUUUUAAUUUUUUAAAAUUUAAGUUGAAACCUUGAUUAGAUUUCAGUUUUGGAUUGAAGCCGCAAUUAACAAUUAAGACUUCGUUUUUUAACUGAAGUUGUAAUUAGCAAUUGAUGCUUCAAUUUUUUUUCUUACUUUAAAAUUUAAUUUAAAAAUAUUAAAUUAAAAAUUAUUAUUAAAAUUAAAAAUAUAUAAUUUAAUAAUAAGAAAUUUAUAUACUUAAACUUAAAGAUUUAGUAUUACUUUAAUAAAGAUAAAUUGAUAAAUAUAAUAAUAAAUAAAUAUUUUAUUUAUCAAUAAAUUAAUAAUUUUAAAAUAAUAAAGUUAUAUGAGACAUAAAUAAUGUAUAAAUUUAUAUAAUUUAUUAAUUUAAUAUAUUAAAUUUAUUAUAUUUUUAAAAUAUAAAAUGAUAUAAUCUAUUAAUUUAAAUUACAUCACGUGUAGUACCUACUAAAAUCAUAGAGGGACAUUUUUUUCCAUUAUAUAUGAAAUAUUAAGAUUAUAUUAUUAUUUUAAUAAAGAUUAAUUUGUCAAAAUACAAAUAAAUUAAUAUCUUAAAAAUACAACAAAUUAAAUAUCUUAAAUUAAUAAAUUAUAUAAUUUAUAUCUUAUUUAUAUAUUAUAUAAUUUUAUUAUUUUAAGAUUAUUAAUUUAUUGAUAAAUAAAAUAUUUAUUUAUUAUUAUAUUUAACAAUUUAUAUAUUAGAUUGUUAUAUUUAAAUAUAUAACUUUUUUUUAUUAUUAAGUAUAUACUUUUAAUUUCAAUAAUAAUUUAUAAUUUAAUAUUUUUAAUUAAAAUUUAAAGUAAAAAAAAUUAACUGAAACCUUUAUUGAAAAUUGAGAUCUUAGUUAAAAAAUGAAAUCACAAUUAUCAAUUGUAACUUUAAUUUAAAAAUGAAAUCUCAAUUAACAAUUGAAAUUUCAACUUCAAAAUGAAGCCUCAAUUGAUAAUUGAAGUUUCAGUUUCAAAAUGAUGUCUCAGUUACUAAUUACUUUUUAAAAAUAAAGUAUCAUUUAACAAUUGAAACUUUAAUUUAAAUUUUGAUUAAAUAAAAUAAAAUAAAAUUAUGAUAUAUCUCUUAGUGAUGAUAAAAAGAUUAAUUUGAUCAUAAAGUUUUGCGGACGGGAUACACUAACAUUUCCUUUUAUAAAAGGGUUAUUUUGCACCCCCAAACUCUCAAAAGGCAUUGGCUGACGUCACCAAGUACAUUAUUGGGAUCCCAACCAGCCAUCCUAUCACACUCCACAUUAAAAUCUCCACAAAUCCAAGGUCCAGGACGGCACCUGGUUAAUCAAGAUUCAAGAUCAAGAAAACCACUAUAAAUAAGAAGAGAGCAUACCAAUGGCAGCCACAUCUCUUCAAUCAGCAACAAUGGCUGAAGAAGUGAAGCUUUUUGGCACGUGGGCAAGCCCCUUUAGCCGCAGAAUUGAAGUGGCCCUGAAGCUGAAAGGAGUUCAAUUUGAACAUAGCAGAGAACUUGUCCAGUAAGAGUCCUGCGCUUCUCACGUAUAAUCCAGUUCACAAGAAAAUCCCUGUGCUUGUACACAAUGGAAAGCCGGUUGCAGAGUCACUUGUCAUCCUGGAGUACAUUGAUGAGACCUGGAAACAUAAUCCCAUCUUGCCUACAGACCCUUAUGAGAAGGCCAUGGCACGGUUCUGGGCUAAG
Molecule: long non-coding RNA, 8262 nt
Filed under: Vitis vinifera (wine grape)
Lineage: Eukaryota; Viridiplantae; Streptophyta; Magnoliopsida; Vitales; Vitaceae
Description: long non-coding RNA (VVIN_LNC001747)
Source: RNAcentral